This 87-nucleotide transfer RNA is filed under the name Trueperella bernardiae. RNAcentral's name for it is "tRNA-Thr". The record is from RNAcentral. Lineage: Bacteria; Bacillati; Actinomycetota; Actinomycetes; Actinomycetales; Actinomycetaceae.
GCGCUGGGCUCGUUCGCCGGGGCGCGGGCGUCGGCGCUCGUGGCACCGACGGUGCUCAUGGUGUCGUUCGGGGUGAUGCUCAGCGUU